UAACCCAGUUUUAGAAGAUUCAAAAGAAUGUUACUUAUUGUAUGAUAGGAUUGCUGAAUCUUCUUUCUUAUUUGGCUACCAUACAGGAGUAGUUAAUGAACCACUUGAAAGCAUUUCUGUAGAUCUUCGUUUCAGUGGGAAUACUUUGGCAGAAGGUUUGGUUGUGACUCUUGUGAGUACAUGUCUAGGUGGUGCCCUAGUUGGAGCACUACUCAGUGGUUAGAUUGCUGAUGGGGUUGGUCGACAUAGAGCUUUUCAGUUG
Long non-coding RNA from Quercus lobata, 262 nucleotides. RefSeq lists it as uncharacterized. The transcript has 3 exons. NCBI's taxonomy places the organism in Eukaryota, Viridiplantae, Streptophyta, Magnoliopsida, Fagales, Fagaceae. The record is from RefSeq and is a predicted model, not a curated record.